GGAGAGUUGUCAGAGCGGCCGAAUGAGGCGGUCUUGAAAACCGUUAUACGGUGAUCCCGUAUCGGGGGUUCGAAUCCCCCACUCUCCGC
RNAcentral lists this transfer RNA (89 nucleotides) under Trueperella bialowiezensis. RNAcentral describes it as "tRNA-Ser(tga)". It matches the Rfam family "tRNA". Rfam says of the family: Transfer RNA (tRNA) molecules are approximately 80 nucleotides in length. Their secondary structure includes four short double-helical elements and three loops (D, anti-codon, and T loops). Further hydrogen bonds mediate the characteristic L-shaped molecular structure. tRNAs have two regions of fundamental functional importance: the anti-codon, which is responsible for specific mRNA codon recognition, and the 3' end, to which the tRNAs corresponding amino acid is attached (by aminoacyl-tRNA synthetases). tRNAs cope with the degeneracy of the genetic code in two manners: having more than one tRNA (with a specific anti-codon) for a particular amino acid; and 'wobble' base-pairing, i.e. permitting non-standard base-pairing at the 3rd anti-codon position. The record is from RNAcentral. Lineage: Bacteria; Bacillati; Actinomycetota; Actinomycetes; Actinomycetales; Actinomycetaceae.